RNAcentral lists this long non-coding RNA (388 nucleotides) under Androctonus crassicauda. The record is from RNAcentral. Lineage: Eukaryota; Metazoa; Arthropoda; Arachnida; Scorpiones; Buthidae.
CUCUGUAUUAGUAAACUUCAACAUAUAAUGCAUUCUCAAUGUUACGUAAAAUUCUAAUAAUGUUUGCCAUGGGACGGCAUCACAAAAACACAAUGGUUUGGUUAUUUCCGAUAAUUUCUGAAUAAUGCAUUCUUUUAUGCCAGCUUUAUGUGAGGAAUCUCGCAUAUGCGUAACAUAUGUGCUUUCACAUACAGAUAUGAAGUCUAAAAAAUCAUUUAUUGAAGCACAGUAUUCUUCUUUUGCAACCUUCAUUGUUUUCUUACAGCCUCUUUCUUUCCGCUGGCUGAUAAUAAUAGACGUUAUAGUCUUUCUUGUUGCCUCAACAUAUAUUUUAUUUGCAAUAGGGCACAAAACGACAAUGGCAAUGCCAGUAAUGCUACACGUAUAA